Molecule: long non-coding RNA, 363 nt
Filed under: Malus domestica (apple)
Lineage: Eukaryota; Viridiplantae; Streptophyta; Magnoliopsida; Rosales; Rosaceae
Description: long non-coding RNA (MDOM_LNC000864)
Source: RNAcentral
GUUUGGGGAGGCGGCGGCAAGGGAGGUCAGCGUCUUGACCCUGAAGGCGUCGCGCUGGAGGCGGAGGUUGAAGAGUUGGGUAGGGGUUUUGUUAAGCGCCACGGCGUCGAUGUGGUGUAACUGUACGGACAGGGUGUUUGGGGUUGGGGUGGUGGUGGCGGAGGGGGAGUUGGGGUCGAGUUGGGCGGUUUCGGAUUCGGAGACGGUGUCUGUCCAUGAGAGGGUGGUAGGUGGGGUGGGGAGGGGGUUGAGGAGGAGGGUCUGGUGGUCGAGGGCGGAGGAGAGGGAGAGGAAUAUGGCGGCGAGGGAAAGGAAGAAAAGGGGAAGUGUUGCUUUCCGUUCCAUUUUAGAGAAGUUGUGGAG